RNAcentral lists this ribosomal RNA (253 nucleotides) under uncultured bacterium. Its description in RNAcentral is "partial 16S ribosomal RNA". It matches the Rfam family "Bacterial small subunit ribosomal RNA", at positions 524 to 776 of the family's 1533-position model. The record is from RNAcentral.
UACGUAGGGCGCAAGCGUUAUCCGGAAUUAUUGGGCGUAAAGAGCCCGUAGGCGGUUUGUCGCGUCUGCCGUGAAAGUCCGGGGCUCAACUCCGGAUCUGCGGUGGGUACGGGCAGACUAGAGUGUGGUAGGGGAGACUGGAAUUCCUGGUGUAGCGGUGAAAUGCGCAGAUAUCAGGAGGAACACCGAUGGCGAAGGCAGGUCUCUGGGCCACUACUGACGCUGAGAAGCGAAAGCAUGGGGAGCGAACAGG